GAUGAUCGCUGGCGGUGUGCUUAACACAUGCAAGUCGAACGGUGAAGGCGGAGCUUGCUCUGCUGGAUCAGUGGCGAACGGGUGAGUAACACGUGUGCAAUCUGCCCCUGACUCUGGGAUAAGCGCUGGAAACGGCGUCUAAUACUGGAUACGAGCUGCCAAGGCAUUUUCAGCAGCUGGAAAGAAUUUCGGUCAGGGAUGAGCUCGCGGCCUAUCAGCUAGUUGGUGAGGUAAUGGCUCACCAAGGCGUCGACGGGUAGCCGGCCUGGGAGGGUGACCGGCCACACAGGGACGGAGACACGGCCCAGCCUCCUACGGGAGGCAGCAGUGCGGGAUAUUGCACGAUGGGCGAAGGCCUGAUGCAACAACGCCGCGUGGGGGACGACGGCCUUCGGGAUAUAAACCUCUUUUAGCAGGGAAGAAGCGAAAGUGGCGGUACCUGCGGAAAGAGCGCCGGCUAACUACGUG
RNAcentral lists this ribosomal RNA (468 nucleotides) under uncultured bacterium. RNAcentral describes it as "partial 16S ribosomal RNA". It matches the Rfam family "Bacterial small subunit ribosomal RNA", at positions 28 to 507 of the family's 1533-position model. The record is from RNAcentral.